This is a long non-coding RNA of Apis dorsata (giant honeybee), 1437 nucleotides long. RefSeq lists it as uncharacterized. NCBI's taxonomy places the organism in Eukaryota, Metazoa, Arthropoda, Insecta, Hymenoptera, Apidae. The transcript is spliced from 2 exons. The record is from RefSeq and is a predicted model, not a curated record.
UAAUAAAAUCGUAAUAGUAAUAAAAAAAAAAGGAGAAGAAAUAGUAUGAAAGAAACAACGGUAGCGGUUGAAAAUGGUACCUAUAUACAGAUAUACAUAUAUAGGCGCACAGUGUCUCGCUGUUUGUCUCGCUUGCACGCAUCCUCAACACUUGCUCACCCACUUUGUUCGUUCUUUCUCUCUCUCCCAUAUAUACAUACAUACACACAUGUUUCAUCAUUCGCACGUACACACGUAUCACUCGUCGCAUCGUCUCUCGUCUCACAUUCGAUUCCGAGUGUACACGGAUCACGAUGAAAAAGUGUUAAAACGACGAUAAACGCGGGAAAAAAGAACGUAGGCGCGCACGCGUGUAAACAAACCGUGUUCAGCGAACAGAACGAAAAGGAAAACGUCGCGUCACGGAAGGGGUCAAGAAACAAGAGACAUCCACGUAUGCAUCGAGAACCGAGAAACAAGUUGCUCAGCCUCUGGAAAUUUCGUUUCUCCACGCACACUGAUUUUCAACAGCCUCUCGAAUCAUGGUCGAAGCACUGUUUUCAGAUUAUAUGUGAUUAUAUUUCGAUCGGAAAAUUCGAUCUCGAUUCGCUGAUUUCGUCGCGGACACCCAAUUCGUUCGAUGAUUACAAAGAUUAGAUUAGAAAAAUAAUCCAGGAGAGCUUUCUCUCUCUUUCUCUCGAGGCUCGAUCGAAAAUUCUUCCUUCUCUUUUUCUUUUUCUUUUUUUCUAUCUAGCCAGGACCAACGAUCCGAAUAUAUCGAGAAAGUGAUCCGAGAAUUGGGUCACCUUACACUGAUGGACGUCUUCCGUACCAACCCUCGAAAGGCUUUACUCCUUCUCCCUUCUUUCCCUCGACUCAUCAUUCAAUCCAAUCGAUUUCUUUCGCUCUACCUUUCUCUCUUUUUCUCUCUCUCCAAUCUCUCCCCCUCUCUCUCUUUAACAAUAGCAGGUACUAGCAUAGCUACCACAGUCGUACGUAUCGUUAAUAGUUACAAUUAAGUUUAGAUAUUACUAUAAAGGGUACUGUUCUCCCACCUUGUCCCCUCUCGCCUCUGUUCCCCGCGAUUUUUCCUCUUCCAUCCACUUUUUCCUACCCUUAUUAGUUCCGCGGUUAAAAAACAUUUGUUUUUAGCACCCCCUCACGCGGCCACACAACUGCCGAAUCGCUCGACAAUCUUCAAGAUUCCUCGAUUUUCCAUAAUAGGAAGAAGCCUCGACACGGCCUCUCUCUCUCUCUCUCUCUUUCUCCAUUCUUCUCUUGAAGAGUCUCUUAAUCUUAUAUCGAAGGAACUCUUCUUUCAGGGAAUUUUCCGUCCGAGUUUCUGAGAAACCGAAUUUUCGAGAACACCGAACGAGGUUAUCUUAUCCCUCGACAAAAUUUACCAUCGAAGAAAUCCGUUUUCGUUAUCCAAAUUAGGAGAAAUUUCGUUCGACUGGA